This 2237-nucleotide long non-coding RNA is filed under the name Vulpes vulpes (red fox). Its description in RNAcentral is "lncRNA (ENSVVUG00000014471.1)". Lineage: Eukaryota; Metazoa; Chordata; Mammalia; Carnivora; Canidae. The record is from RNAcentral.
CCUUGUCUUAUUCUAAUUCGUCUUCUAGGCACCACUUUCCUCACUGAUAAGAUGAGCGGAUGCAGAUUUACAUCAGAAGAGAUAAGGCCACAGGUGUCAGAGAAACAUUCUCAGAGGCAUAACAUUUAAUUCUCUUGAGCAUUAAAUACCCUUUUAAUACUUUUGUUUACUUAUAAAGGGACAGAAGUAUCUUCCUGACUGAAAUGUCCAUUGUUGCUCCCACAGAUGACAUGGCAAUGCAUAUGACUUCUGCAUUUGGGGAAUACCAGUUCAUACAGGAAACAUGCCUGAUUUUAUUUCCUAUCUCAGCAAGAACAAAGUUAUGGGUGAAGUCUCUGUCACAGAAUGGGGAUCUAUGUGAUAAGGCCAGUCUUCAACCUUUUAUUUCUUCCUUGAACACAAUCUCAAGAUGAAAGUUAUUUUCAUGGUUUUUGUGGAAGAAUUCACCAAAGUUCUCAUUCUACCAUCCUAGAAGUCAAUCUUCACGCAGCCCUUUGUGUUUCAGUACAGCUUGUGGAGACAAUGGACUCACUAGCAUAGAUAAUCUGGGGCAACUGGAUUGGAUGAGCUGAAGAAAGGCCCAUGUGUCCACCAGGAGUGUAGCAAGGAGAAGCCAAUCCAGGUAGCUGAGACUUUAUCCUUUGUUCCUCUGGUAAAUCUCAAAACCCUGGACCCAGUAGAGAUUUUCAACAGUUUAGCAGUAUUAGUUUAGUUUGAGUAGUAAAAGAGGGCACAUCAACAGCUGGUUCUAUUGGAACUCUGAGAAAUAUCCCCUUUUUCUAUCAAAGAUAGCAAUUGUAACUGUGACUAUGGCUUCUGACUCAAGUGACUAUCUCAUUUCUCAGCUUUUCUUUCCUUGGAGCUUUGAAAUAUCACUCAGCUCAUAGACAGUAGCAGCCUAAAUGAAAAGUGAGUGUUAAAUCCACAAAGGAUAACUUAUACCAAUGAAGGAUAGGAGUCAGUGCAUAAAUGCCCAUCUCCUCUCCUUCAGAGGGGGCAUCUGUGAACCUGUUUUAGGAGAUGAAAGCUUUAAAGAACCUUAUCUGACAGUAUAUGUAACUGAGGAGAGGCCAUGAACUCCUGAGUACUGCCCCAUGUGAGGAUAAUAGACUGAAUAGCCAGUGGGAACUAUGAUUAUGGCUGGACAAGGAGGCAGAUAGAUAAUAAUAUAGGGAUUAGGGGUAGGGCAACAAUGGUCUAGUGGUAGUCCAUACUCUACAUAGUACUUCACUUUCUAAAAGUUUCUACCCAUUAAUAGGUAAACAUUAAAGAUUUCAGCUUUUGAAGGAAAGAAAGAUAAUGGGACUUGGCAAAAAAAUAUAUAUAUAUAGUAGACCUGGGGAAAAAUUGUGAGAAUUCACUGGUAGAAUUAUGUUCAUUUUAGGGAGAUUUUUCAGAUGCUUUUAGAUUCUGAGUAACAGCUGCUUAAAGUCACCACCUGAAAGUACGAGUUUUGGGUGGCAAAUAGCUGAGCACAACUGAAACUGUACCUUUCUGAUCUAAAUAGGUUACAUAUCUGCCAUUUUGCAAAAUACUGCAUUCAUUUUGUGUGUAGAGAUUAAGUCAAUGAUAUUACACACAAGAGGAAGCUUGUUAUUUCUGUAUGCAAAUGAACAUUAAGGUAGCAGUUAGAAAAUAGAAACAGAUAAGUAAAUUCAGACCUACUCAAUCUCAAAACAGGAUGCACUUUGUCUUAAAAGGCAAUUGCAGGAGGCACUGAGCAACAUUUAACCAUGGUGAAUUGACUUAUGGCUAAUAGGGUACUCAUUAUACCAUGGUCGAUUGUAAUAAGCUUUCCUGGCACUUGAAAUUUUUUUCUUCUUCAAGACUAGAUUGAUCAGUGGUCCUCUACUGCUCUUAACACUGAAGUUUCUCAGGGAGUGAGAGCUCUGGUUGCCCAGAUAACCACCCUUUAUUUAUGUCCUUUCAUGCACAGCAGGUAUUGGUUUCAUUUCUUUACCAUACUUGAACCUCCAAAAUUUAGACAAUAUUUCCACAUGGUUUUACAUCAUUAUGAUACAUUUACCAGUAGUGAGAAGAAAAACUUCUUUAAGGUAACUUUAAACAUUUUUAUCAAAUGGACCACACUGCCUUAAAAAAUAACUUUUGCAGUUUCUGUACACCAAUAAUGUAGUAGUGGAAAGGGAAAAUAAGGAAUCAAUCUCAUUUAUAAUUGCACCAAAAACCAUGAAAUACCUAGGAAUAAACCUAACCAGAGAUGUAAAAAAACUACUCUG